UACGGAGGGAGCUAGCGUUGUUCGGAAUUACUGGGCGUAAAGCGCACGUAGGCGGCUUUGCAAGUUAGAGGUGAAAGCCCGGGGCUCAACUCCGGAAUUGCCUUUAAAACUGCAUCGCUAGAAUUGUGGAGAGGUAAGUGGAAUUCCGAGUGUAGAGGUGAAAUUCGUAGAUAUUCGGAAGAACACCAGUGGCGAAGGCGACUUACUGGACACAUAUUGACGCUGAGGUGACGAAAGCGUGGGGACAAACAGG
This 253-nucleotide ribosomal RNA is filed under the name uncultured bacterium. Its description in RNAcentral is "partial 16S ribosomal RNA". It matches the Rfam family "Bacterial small subunit ribosomal RNA", at positions 524 to 776 of the family's 1533-position model. The record is from RNAcentral.